CGUCCAUGAACAAAACAAACGUAAACGAGAAAGGCGAAGCUUGAAUGAACGGGUUUUUGGUAAGAACAUUUGUGCUUCUCAUGGCCGCUGAUGGCCGUCCUGCGUGCCGCUGCAUUAAUGAGGCUGCUCCAAACCUAGCCUUAAUCACAGAGGAAACCAUGCAGGAGAAACAUCAGAUUCAAAAUUGAUCCUUAAAUGAAAUGUAUUUUUGAGAACUCCCAAGUUUCUCUGAGACAGAUCAAAGCUUCAUUUGCUUUCGGCCGAAACUCUGUGAUCCAAUCAGAUCCUAGGCUCUUAAUCAGUGUCACUCAUGCUUCAUUCAACGCUUCAUUCAACGCUUCACAAUGAGAGGAUCUGUCAACUCUUCCCAGGUAUUAAAUCAGCUUCUCAUAUCAGAAUGUUUGCACACCACAAGUGUUUUACAUUAAAUUGACAAUCUUUGGUUUUCAAAUAUAAUAUGAAGGGAUCUUCUCCUGUGCGUCUAAUAAGCCAUGUUUAAAUUACGUACACUUAAAAUAAUCAUUUUAAUAGCAGUUUAUUAUUUUUGGUUUAAU
Molecule: non-coding RNA, 554 nt
Organism: Pimephales promelas (fathead minnow)
Lineage: Eukaryota; Metazoa; Chordata; Actinopteri; Cypriniformes; Leuciscidae
Source: RefSeq, a predicted model, not a curated record